GUGGGGAAUAUUGGACAAUGGGCGCAAGCCUGAUCCAGCCAUGCCGCGUGAGUGAUGAAGGCCUUAGGGUUGUAAAGCUCUUUCACCGGUGAAGAUAAUGACGGUAACCGGAGAAGAAGCCCCGGCUAACUUCGUGCCAGCAGCCGCGGUAAUACGAAGGGGGCUAGCGUUGUUCGGAAUUACUGGGCGUAAAGCGCACGUAGGCUGAUAUUUAAGUCAGGGGUGAAAUCCCGGGGCUCAACCCCGGAACUGCCUUUGAUACUGGGUAUCUUGAGUAUGGAAGAGGUCAGUGGAAUUGCGAGUGUAGAGGUGAAAUUCGUAGAUAUUCGCAGGAACACCAGUGGCGAAGGCGGCUGACUGGUCCAUUACUGACGCUGAGGUGCGAAAGCGUGGGGAGCAAACAGGAUUAGAAACCCGAGUAGUCC
Molecule: ribosomal RNA, 425 nt
Filed under: uncultured bacterium
Lineage: Bacteria
Description: bacterial SSU rRNA
Rfam family: Bacterial small subunit ribosomal RNA
Source: RNAcentral